This 77-nucleotide transfer RNA is filed under the name Caudoviricetes sp. RNAcentral's name for it is "tRNA-Ile". It matches the Rfam family "tRNA". Rfam says of the family: Transfer RNA (tRNA) molecules are approximately 80 nucleotides in length. Their secondary structure includes four short double-helical elements and three loops (D, anti-codon, and T loops). Further hydrogen bonds mediate the characteristic L-shaped molecular structure. tRNAs have two regions of fundamental functional importance: the anti-codon, which is responsible for specific mRNA codon recognition, and the 3' end, to which the tRNAs corresponding amino acid is attached (by aminoacyl-tRNA synthetases). tRNAs cope with the degeneracy of the genetic code in two manners: having more than one tRNA (with a specific anti-codon) for a particular amino acid; and 'wobble' base-pairing, i.e. permitting non-standard base-pairing at the 3rd anti-codon position. Lineage: Duplodnaviria; Heunggongvirae; Uroviricota; Caudoviricetes. The record is from RNAcentral.
AGUUUGGUAGCUCAGUCGGUUAGAGCACUCGAUUGAUAAUCGAGAGGUCGUGAGUUCAAGUCUCACCCAGACUACCA